AGGAUUAUAAUUAAUUAUAAUAUUUGAUUUGCAAUCAUAAAGUACCAUAAAGGUUAAUCUUA
This 62-nucleotide transfer RNA is filed under the name Mileewa lamellata. RNAcentral describes it as "tRNA-Ala". Lineage: Eukaryota; Metazoa; Arthropoda; Insecta; Hemiptera; Cicadellidae. The record is from RNAcentral.